Pongo abelii (Sumatran orangutan) is the source of this 72-nucleotide non-coding RNA. The record is from Rfam. NCBI's taxonomy places the organism in Eukaryota, Metazoa, Chordata, Mammalia, Primates, Hominidae.
GGUUCCAUGGUGUAAUGGUGAGCACUAUGGACUCUGAAUACAGCGUUCAGAGUUCAAGUCUCACUGGGACCU